Molecule: long non-coding RNA, 221 nt
Filed under: Homo sapiens (human)
Lineage: Eukaryota; Metazoa; Chordata; Mammalia; Primates; Hominidae
Description: HSALNT0223329
Source: RNAcentral
UGACUCAUGAAGUGCUGGGCAUUCAAAACAGUGAAUCCUUGCAAAGGAUCUUGGGAGUAGACCCCUGUGAAUUGGCUCUUUCAAUUUGUCCACUUAAAGGGCAUAAUAGAUUAUGCAGCUGUUUGGGCUUCAGCAGGGUAUUGCUCCAUAUUCAUGCCUAGUUGCAAUUAUGUGAAUUUUCAGUUUGUUACAAAGACUUCCCUUUGUAUUCAAAACAAUUU